GGCCUGAUGGCGGAGUGGUGACGCUGGGGACUGCAAAUCCUCCCACCCGGGUUCGAUUCCCGGUCAGGCCUCCA
RNAcentral lists this transfer RNA (74 nucleotides) under Rhizobium sp. MHM7A. RNAcentral describes it as "tRNA-Cys". It matches the Rfam family "tRNA". Rfam says of the family: Transfer RNA (tRNA) molecules are approximately 80 nucleotides in length. Their secondary structure includes four short double-helical elements and three loops (D, anti-codon, and T loops). Further hydrogen bonds mediate the characteristic L-shaped molecular structure. tRNAs have two regions of fundamental functional importance: the anti-codon, which is responsible for specific mRNA codon recognition, and the 3' end, to which the tRNAs corresponding amino acid is attached (by aminoacyl-tRNA synthetases). tRNAs cope with the degeneracy of the genetic code in two manners: having more than one tRNA (with a specific anti-codon) for a particular amino acid; and 'wobble' base-pairing, i.e. permitting non-standard base-pairing at the 3rd anti-codon position. Lineage: Bacteria; Pseudomonadati; Pseudomonadota; Alphaproteobacteria; Hyphomicrobiales; Rhizobiaceae. The record is from RNAcentral.